Oncorhynchus tshawytscha (Chinook salmon) is the source of this 314-nucleotide long non-coding RNA. Lineage: Eukaryota; Metazoa; Chordata; Actinopteri; Salmoniformes; Salmonidae. The record is from Ensembl.
UCUCUCUCUCUCUAUCUCUCUCUCUCUGUAUCUCUCUCUCUCUCUGUAUCUCUCUCUCUCUCUGUAUCUCUCUCUCUCUCUGUAUCUCUCUCUCUCUCUGUAUCUCUCUCUCUCUCUCUGUAUCUCUCUCUCUCUCUCUGUAUCUCUCUCUCUCUCUCUGUAUCUCUCUCUCUCUCUCUGUAUCUCGCUCUCUCUCUCUCUGUAGCUCUCUCUCUCUCUCUGUAGCUCUCUCUCUCUCUCUGUAGCGCUCUCUCUCUCUGUAGCUCUCUCUCUCUCUCUGUAGCGCUCUCUCUCUCUGUAGCUCUCUCUCUCUC